Molecule: non-coding RNA, 45 nt
Organism: Schistosoma margrebowiei
Lineage: Eukaryota; Metazoa; Platyhelminthes; Trematoda; Strigeidida; Schistosomatidae
Source: Rfam
AUCUAGUUGAUAUGUCCCUAAUAGGACGAAACGUGCGUCCUGGAU